CGCACGGUGGAUGCCUUGGCACUAGGAGCCGAAGAAGGACGGGACUAACACCGAUAUGCUUUGGGGAGCUGUACGUAAGCGUUGAUCCAGAGAUUUCCGAAUGGGGGAACCCACUAUCUUUAGUCGGAUAGUAUCCUUACGUGAAUACAUAGCGUGAGGAAGGCAGACCCAGGGAACUGAAACAUCUAAGUACCUGGAGGAAGAGAAAGAAAAAUCGAUUUCCUGAGUAGCGGCGAGCGAAACGGAAAGAGCCCAAACCAAGAAGCUUGCUUCUUGGGGUUGUAGGACACUCUAUACGGAGUUACAAAAGAAAGUUAUAAAUGAAGCGGUCUGGAAAGGCCCGCCAAAGACGGUAACAGCCCGGUAGUUGAAAUGGCUUUCCCUCCAGAGUGGAUCCUGAGUACGGCGGAACACGUGAAAUUCCGUCGGAAUCCGGGAGGACCAUCUCCCAAGGCUAAAUACUCCCUAGUGACCGAUAGUGAACCAGUACCGUGAGGGAAAGGUGAAAAGCACCCCGGAAGGGGAGUGAAACAGUUCCUGAAACCGUGUGCCUACAAGUAGUUAGAGCCCGUUAAUGGGUGAUAGCGUGCCUUUUGUAGAAUGAACCGGCGAGUUACGAUUUGUUGCAAGGUUAAGCGGAAAAAGCGGAGCCGUAGCGAAAGCGAGUCUGAAUAGGGCGCAUAAGUAACAGGUCGUAGACCCGAAACCAGGUGAUCUACCCAUGUCCAGGAUGAAGGUAAGGUAAUACUUACUGGAGGUCCGAACCCACGCACGUUGAAAAGUGCGGGGAUGAGGUGUGGGUAGCGGAGAAAUUCCAAUCGAACUUGGAGAUAGCUGGUUCUCUCCGAAAUAGCUUUAGGGCUAGCCUCGAGGUAAAGAGUCAUGGAGGUAGAGCACUGUUUGGACUAGGGGCCCUUCUCGGGUUACCGAAUUCAGAUAAACUCCGAAUGCCAUGUACUUAUACUCGGGAGUCAGACUGCGAGUGAUAAGAUCCGUAGUCGAAAGGGAAACAGCCCAGACCACCAGUUAAGGUCCCCAAAUAUAUGUUAAGUGGAAAAGGAUGUGGGGUUGCUUAGACAACCAGGAUGUUGGCUUAGAAGCAGCCACCAUUGAAAGAGUGCGUAAUAGCUCACUGGUCGAGUGACCCCGCGCCGAAAAUGUACCGGGGCUAAACAUAUUACCGAAACUGUGGAUGAACCUCUUUAGAGGUUCGUGGUAGGAGAGCGUUCUAAGGGCGGUGAAGUCAGACCGGAAGGACUGGUGGAGCGCUUAGAAGUGAGAAUGCCGGUAUGAGUAGCGAAAGAAGGGUGAGAAUCCCUUCCACCGAAUAUCUAAGGUUUCCUGAGGAAGGCUCGUCCGCUCAGGGUUAGUCGGGACCUAAGCCGAGGCCGAUAGGCGUAGGCGAUGGACAACAGGUAGAGAUUCCUGUACCAGUGCUAAUUGUUUAACCGAUGGGGUGACACAGAAGGAUAGGGAAUCGCACGAAUGGAAAUGUGCGUCCAAGCAGUGAGUGUGAGAAGUAGGCAAAUCCGCUUCUCGCGAAGCAUGAGCUGUGAUGGGGAAGGAAAUUAAGUACGGAAGUUCCUGAUUUCACGCUGUCAAGAAAAGCCUCUAGGAAGAGUAGUACUGCCCGUACCGCAAACCGACACAGGUAGAUGAGGAGAGAAUCCUAAGGUGAGCGAGAGAACUCUCGUUAAGGAACUCGGCAAAAUGACCCCGUAACUUCGGGAGAAGGGGUGCUCUAUUAGGGUGCAAGCCCGAGAGAGCCGCAGUGAAUAGGCCCAGGCGACUGUUUAGCAAAAACACAGGUCUCUGCAAAACCGUAAGGUGACGUAUAGGGGCUGACGCCUGCCCGGUGCUGGAAGGUUAAGAGGAGUGCUUAGCUUCGGCGAAGGUACGAAUUGAAGCCCCAGUAAACGGCGGCCGUAACUAUAACGGUCCUAAGGUAGCGAAAUUCCUUGUCGGGUAAGUUCCGACCCGCACGAAAGGCGCAACGAUCUGGGCACUGUCUCAACGAGAGACUCGGUGAAAUUAUAGUACCUGUGAAGAUGCAGGUUACCCGCGACAGGACGGAAAGACCCCGUGGAGCUUUACUGCAACCUGAUAUGGAAUGUUUGUACCGCUUGUACAGGAUAGGUAGGAGCCGAAGAGACGUGUGCGCUAGCAUACGAGGAGGCAAUGGUGGGAUACUACCCUGGCUGUAUGACCAUUCUAACCCGCCACGCUUAGCGCGUGGGGAGACAGUGUCAGGUGGGCAGUUUGACUGGGGCGGUCGCCUCCUAAAGAGUAACGGAGGCGCCCAAAGGUUCCCUCAGAAUGGAUGGAAAUCAUUCGCAGAGUGUAAAGGCACAAGGGAGCUUGACUGCGAGACUGACAAGUCGAGCAGGGACGAAAGUCGGGCUUAGUGAUCCGGUGGUUCCGCAUGGAAGGGCCAUCGCUCAACGGAUAAAAGCUACCCCGGGGAUAACAGGCUUAUCUCCCCCAAGAGUCCACAUCGACGGGGAGGUUUGGCACCUCGAUGUCGGCUCGUCGCAUCCUGGGGCUGUAGUCGGUCCCAAGGGUUGGGCUGUUCGCCCAUUAAAGCGGCACGCGAGCUGGGUUCAGAACGUCGUGAGA
This 2616-nucleotide ribosomal RNA is filed under the name Listeria monocytogenes. RNAcentral describes it as "partial 23S ribosomal RNA". It matches the Rfam family "Bacterial large subunit ribosomal RNA", at positions 18 to 2626 of the family's 2925-position model. The record is from RNAcentral. Lineage: Bacteria; Bacillati; Bacillota; Bacilli; Caryophanales; Listeriaceae.